UUUCCAGGAUCCAGGGAUUCAACAGUGAACACCUUCAGUCUUCACAUGGAGGCCGUGAUAGGAAAGCCUUGACCUUCAGUGCUGGACAGCAGAAGAGGAGACAAUGCGGAUAUAUGCAGUGGGCAGGAAAUGAGGAAAAACCUGUGCAUUCAGCUAGAGGCAAAGGUUGGCAUACAUGUCAAGAGAAUGUUCUCCAGCUGGGGCCUGCAGUACAGAGAAUUGUAUAUACCAGAGAGCCCAUGGGACUCUAGGCAGAUUAUUAUGGUAAUAUUGGAGGCUGCUGUCCUCUCCCUCCCACAGCUGGGCCGCCUCUCUCAUUAAAUCAGCGCUUCCCUAAGCACACUUUGGUGACCCAUGAAGUGACUUGCCACCAGGCCUUACCCUUGGAGGACGGAGGUAAAGGAUGAAGAAACGCUAAAAGUGGCAUGGCUGUAUGGUGUUAAAGAAACAGAAUUUGAGUAGAGAAGAGAACAAUUUCCCUUGAGAAAAGGCAUUCAAGAACUUGGGAGAGUUAGUAAAGAUUAACCAGCAUGUAAAAAAAAU
Molecule: non-coding RNA, 543 nt
Organism: Equus caballus (horse)
Lineage: Eukaryota; Metazoa; Chordata; Mammalia; Perissodactyla; Equidae
Source: RefSeq, a predicted model, not a curated record